CACGGAGACCCCUAGCGUUGUUCGGAAUUACUGGGCUUAAAGAGCGUGUAGGCGGAACGGAAAGUACCUUGUGAAAUCCCCCGGCUCAACCGGGGAAUGGCUUGGUAUACUAUCGUUCUUGAGGCAGGUAGGGGCUGCUGGAACCUUAGGUGGAGCGGUGAAAUGCGUAGAUAUCUAAGGGAACGCCUGUGGCGAAAGCGGGCAGCUGGACCUGUACUGACGCUGAGACGCGAAAGCGUAGGUAGCGAACGGGAUUAGAUACCCGCGUA
This 269-nucleotide ribosomal RNA is filed under the name uncultured prokaryote. RNAcentral describes it as "partial 16S ribosomal RNA". It matches the Rfam family "Bacterial small subunit ribosomal RNA", at positions 524 to 792 of the family's 1533-position model. The record is from RNAcentral.